RNAcentral lists this ribosomal RNA (1660 nucleotides) under Microbacterium azadirachtae. Its description in RNAcentral is "partial 16S ribosomal RNA". It matches the Rfam family "Bacterial small subunit ribosomal RNA". The record is from RNAcentral. Lineage: Bacteria; Bacillati; Actinomycetota; Actinomycetes; Micrococcales; Microbacteriaceae.
GGCGAAUUGGGCCCGACGUCGCAUGCUCCCGGCCGCCAUGGCGGCCGCGGGAAUUCGAUUGGAUCGCCCUUAGAGUUUGAUCCUGGCUCAGGAUGAACGCUGGCGGCGUGCUUAACACAUGCAAGUCGAACGAUGAACCCGAAGCUUGCUUUGGGGGAUUAGUGGCGAACGGGUGAGUAACACGUGAGCAACCUGCCCCUCACUCUGGGAUAAGCGCUGGAAACGGCGUCUAAUACUGGAUACGAGACGCGACCGCAUGGUCAGUGUCUGGAAAGAUUUUUUGGUGGGGGAUGGGCUCGCGGCCUAUCAGCUUGUUGGUGAGGUAAUGGCUCACCAAGGCGUCGACGGGUAGCCGGCCUGAGAGGGUGACCGGCCACACUGGGACUGAGACACGGCCCAGACUCCUACGGGAGGCAGCAGUGGGGAAUAUUGCACAAUGGGCGGAAGCCUGAUGCAGCAACGCCGCGUGAGGGAUGACGGCCUUCGGGUUGUAAACCUCUUUUAGCAGGGAAGAAGCGAAAGUGACGGUACCUGCAGAAAAAGCACCGGCUAACUACGUGCCAGCAGCCGCGGUAAUACGUAGGGUGCAAGCGUUAUCCGGAAUUAUUGGGCGUAAAGAGCUCGUAGGCGGUUUGUCGCGUCUGCUGUGAAAUCCCGAGGCUCAACCUCGGGCCUGCAGUGGGUACGGGCAGACUAGAGUGCGGUAGGGGAGAUUGGAAUUCCUGGUGUAGCGGUGGAAUGCGCAGAUAUCAGGAGGAACACCGAUGGCGAAGGCAGAUCUCUGGGCCGUAACUGACGCUGAGGAGCGAAAGGGUGGGGAGCAAACAGGCUUAGAUACCCUGGUAGUCCACCCCGUAAGCGUUGGGAACUAGUUGUGGGGUCCUUUCCACGGAUUCCGUGACGCAGCUAACGCAUUAAGUUCCCCGCCUGGGGAGUACGGCCGCAAGGCUAAAACUCAAAGGAAUUGACGGGGACCCGCACAAGCGGCGGAGCAUGCGGAUUAAUUCGAUGCAACGCGAAGAACCUUACCAAGGCUUGACAUACACGAGAACGGGCCAGAAAUGGUCAACUCUUUGGACACUCGUGAACAGGUGGUGCAUGGUUGUCGUCAGCUCGUGUCGUGAGAUGUUGGGUUAAGUCCCGCAACGAGCGCAACCCUCGUUCUAUGUUGCCAGCACGUAAUGGUGGGAACUCAUGGGAUACUGCCGGGGUCAACUCGGAGGAAGGUGGGGAUGACGUCAAAUCAUCAUGCCCCUUAUGUCUUGGGCUUCACGCAUGCUACAAUGGCCGGUACAAAGGGCUGCAAUACCGUGAGGUGGAGCGAAUCCCAAAAAGCCGGUCCCAGUUCGGAUUGAGGUCUGCAACUCGACCUCAUGAAGUCGGAGUCGCUAGUAAUCGCAGAUCAGCAACGCUGCGGUGAAUACGUUCCCGGGUCUUGUACACACCGCCCGUCAAGUCAUGAAAGUCGGUAACACCUGAAGCCGGUGGCCUAACCCUUGUGGAGGGAGCCGUCGAAGGUGGGAUCGGUAAUUAGGACUAAGUCGUAACAAGGUAGCCGUAAAGGGCGAUCCCAAUCACUAGUGAAUUCGCGGCCGCCUGCAGGUCGACCAUAUGGGAGAGCUCCCAACGCGUUGGAUGCAUAGCUUGAGUAUUCUAUAGU